GCGGCGACAACUGCGUGUUAUAUGUGUGCCCCUCUCUUUGUACACAUGUAUGGUCCUUUCAUACGCAAACUUACUCGCUGCAACGCACACGCACAAACUUUUAUUCUUCUUGGCACACACGUAUCUUGUGGGCAUAGUAGUAAGGCAGUCAGGCGAGGAAGCACACGUUGUGCCGCACGUAUAGCGCCAAACAUUCUUUAGGUGGGGGAGGGAGGUAGAACACCAGGGCUAGAGAACGGUGCAGCGUGGACCAGCGGACAUUUUCACGAAACAGGAGACGGGCUACGCGAGCACCGUACAAGCACGUGCCGCGGCAGUCUUCUUCUGCUCCGUGUGAUCGGUUUCCGACUCUGCGUGUGUUGUGGGAGGCGGAGUAUUCAAGCAGUUCCUACAAUCUUAGCCGUCACCGCCACCAGCCAACAGCUUCACGCGCCCCUCUGCGUACUUUUCAGCCAUCUCGGUCGCAUAUGUAGUAGCAUCGGUUGUGCAUUCUGCGCACUCUCCUUUGUGCUUACCCUUGUUAUCUCGCGCGUAACGAUUCCUCGGACAACGCGUGCAGCUCUCCUUCAAGAGAGGGAGCGCGCGCUUGAAUCAUCAGCGUGUCUUUCUCGGUGAGGGAGAGAGCCGGCCCGCGCAUGCGUGCUUGUAUCGUGAGUGCUGCGCUUUAUAUAUGUUUUCAUUUUGUUCUUUGAUGUUGUUUCCCUUCCUCACAGUCGGGUUACCGUGCCUCUUUGUAGCGUGUUCGCGUGCGUUUGAGAGUGUAGGUGAAUCAGUGGCUGGGCUGGGCCUGCACCCCUCCUCCCUCUUUUUAGUUUGAAACGCGUCUUACCGCUUUUCCCGUAUCGUCCCCUCAUAAAGCCUUGCUUUCCUCUUCCAUUACACUCCCUGUAUCUCCACGCCUUUCUUGCAAGGUUUUCAUUGUUUUCCGCUACCAUCAUGUCCGCUCUCGUUCCGAGUGAUGCCGUUGCCCUCCUGUAUCGCCGGUACCUGAAGGCGACGCACAGGAUUCCCAAUGUAACGAUCCGAAUGCUGCUGCUACAGCAAGUCCGCACCGGCUUCCGCCGCAACCGCAACAUUAAAAGCGCCUCCGCGCAGCGCGAACUCAUCAAUCAAGCACUCAAGGACUUGGCGGUGCUGGAGGAUGAUCGGCUGUCGCGUACCCUGUACAUCAAUCGGUUAGGGCUGGUCUCAUGUCUUGACUGGGAAGUGCGGAGAACGGAGUACAACUUCCGACCAGAGACGCAGUCUUACCUGGCUGUGCUUCUCAUCUGCGGCUUUUCGCUUCUUCUCGUGGCGUUCCUGCACACGGAGAGGCUGGAGAUACGACGCCCCGAUAUUGCGCAGAUGGUGAACUGCAUGGCCAUGCGUUUGGAGGCGGAGUCUCCGGAGCAGUUGAAGGAGGUGCGCGAGCGGCAGAUUCGCAAUUCGCUAGAGCAGCGCCAGCAUCAAGUGUCGCUGGAGCAACGUGUGCUGGCAACGUUUUGCAACGCCCCGAAUACGCCCGCGCCGUCGCUGCGGAAUCCAGAGGGCUCACUGCGUUACAAGCGGCACAGCUGAGCGUGUGGCUUUUGGGGCUGCUGGUGGGAGCCCCCUGUGCUCACUGCGAGGGCGAAAGGGCGAGGACGAGGUCACCAUCACCGAGGCGGCGCCUCUUCUUUCUGCGUGUGUGUGUGUUGGUCGUUGUCGGUGUGCCCAACGGAUGCGACCAGGUUGUAAACGCGGCGACAUGUAGCUCACAGCUUGUCUCUCCUGUGACGUCAUUUGCCAUGACAAGAAUGGUAGCCUGGCCCUCACACACGCCCCACCGCCGCAGUCGUUCCCUUAUGUGUAUCUUUAUGUUGGUUGCAGUCCUUCUGGUGCUCACAAUCACUGAAGGAAAAG
Molecule: unclassified non-coding RNA, 1881 nt
Filed under: Leishmania donovani
Lineage: Eukaryota; Euglenozoa; Kinetoplastea; Trypanosomatida; Trypanosomatidae
Description: gene:LdHU3.32.2930(CDS-product:NADH-ubiquinone_ox idoreductase_complex_I_subunit_putative)
Source: RNAcentral